This 253-nucleotide ribosomal RNA is filed under the name uncultured bacterium. Its description in RNAcentral is "partial 16S ribosomal RNA". It matches the Rfam family "Bacterial small subunit ribosomal RNA", at positions 524 to 776 of the family's 1533-position model. The record is from RNAcentral.
UACGUAGGGUGCAAGCGUUGUCCGGAAUUAUUGGGCGUAAAGAGCUCGUAGGCGGUCUGUCGCGUCGGCUGUGAAAACUCGGGGCUCAACCCCGAGCCUGCAGUCGAUACGGGCAGACUAGAGUGCUGUAGGGGAGACUGGAAUUCCUGGUGUAGCGGUGAAAUGCGCAGAUAUCAGGAGGAACACCGGUGGUGAAGGCGGGUCUCUGGGCCGAUACUGACGCUGAGGAGCGAAAGCGUGGGGAGCGAACAGG